UACAUAGGGGGCAAGCGUUGUCCGGAAUCAUUGGGCGUAAAGAGCGCGUAGGCGGUCCGGUAAGUCCGCUCUGAAAGUCCGGGGGCUCAACCCCGGGAGGCGGGCGGAUACUGUCGGGCUAGAGUCCGGAAGAGGCGAGUGGAAUUCCUGGUGUAGCGGUGAAAUGCGCAGAUAUCAGGAGGAACACCGGUGCGGAAGGCGGGUCUCUGGGCCGAUACUGACGCUGAGGAGCGAAAGCGUGGGGAGCGAACAGG
RNAcentral lists this ribosomal RNA (254 nucleotides) under uncultured bacterium. Its description in RNAcentral is "partial 16S ribosomal RNA". It matches the Rfam family "Bacterial small subunit ribosomal RNA", at positions 524 to 776 of the family's 1533-position model. The record is from RNAcentral.